Molecule: ribosomal RNA, 560 nt
Filed under: Brucella anthropi
Lineage: Bacteria; Pseudomonadati; Pseudomonadota; Alphaproteobacteria; Hyphomicrobiales; Brucellaceae
Description: bacterial SSU rRNA
Rfam family: Bacterial small subunit ribosomal RNA
Source: RNAcentral
GAGCGCCCCGCAAGGGGAGCGGCAGACGGGUGAGUAACGCGUGGGAACGUACCUUUUGCUACGGAAUAACUCAGGGAAACUUGUGCUAAUACCGUAUGUGCCCUUCGGGGGAAAGAUUUAUCGGCAAAGGAUCGGCCCGCGUUGGAUUAGCUAGUUGGUGAGGUAAAGGCUCACCAAGGCGACGAUCCAUAGCUGGUCUGAGAGGAUGAUCAGCCACACUGGGACUGAGACACGGCCCAGACUCCUACGGGAGGCAGCAGUGGGGAAUAUUGGACAAUGGGCGCAAGCCUGAUCCAGCCAUGCCGCGUGAGUGAUGAAGGCCCUAGGGUUGUAAAGCUCUUUCACCGGUGAAGAUAAUGACGGUAACCGGAGAAGAAGCCCCGGCUAACUUCGUGCCAGCAGCCGCGGUAAUACGAAGGGGGCUAGCGUUGUUCGGAUUUACUGGGCGUAAAGCGCACGUAGGCGGACUUUUAAGUCAGGGGUGAAAUCCCGGGGCUCAACCCCGGAACUGCCUUUGAUACUGGAAGUCUUGAGUAUGGUAGAGGUGAGUGGAAUUCCGA